AUUACAACCCAGGUGCGAUGCGACACUCGGGCGUGUCACAUGCCCCUUUUGGUAAAAUGGAUUUGGGGCAGAACCUCUCUUUCUCUCUCCAUGCUGUGUCUUCACAGGAACGUUUAAAAGCAACGGAUGACCCAUCUGUGAAUGCUCCUCAAGAAACCAGUCAAGAUAGGAGGUGAAUCUACGUGCUGGCAGCUGUCGAGAUUGGUUGGAGGGAAGUCUUCAAGACAUCAUGAGUACCUGGGGUCCUGGCAGUGGAGACGAGGCCUCCUAAUCAUGGAAUCCCACAUUAUCCGUGACUGGAGAUGCAGGAUGCUCCUGUGGCAAGAUCAGCAGAGGCUCCUUCCCAGAAAAGACAAAGCGAUCGAAACUGAGAAAAAAAUAUUCAAGUGUGACAAAAAAAUUGAACCCAUCAAGUUUUUCCAAAUACGGUAGUCCACCCCUCGUCUGAGUUCCGACUUCCACGAUUUCAGUUACCCACGGUCAGGGGGGAUCCGGAAGCAGAUGAUCCCCCUCCUCAGGGAUAAUCUAAAGGUCAGUAGUAGCCUUACUUACUUACCACAUCACAGUGCCUACCUCAUUCACCUCACCUCAUCCCAUUGUGUAGACAUUUUAUCAUCAUCUCAUGUCAUCACAAGAAGAAGGGUGAGUAGCGUACAGUAAGAUACUUGGGGGGAGAGAGAGAGAGAGAGAGAGAGAGAGAGAGACCACAUUGAC
Molecule: long non-coding RNA, 714 nt
Filed under: Felis catus (domestic cat)
Lineage: Eukaryota; Metazoa; Chordata; Mammalia; Carnivora; Felidae
Description: lncRNA (ENSFCAG00000046180.2)
Source: RNAcentral